RNAcentral lists this ribosomal RNA (663 nucleotides) under Shigella sonnei. RNAcentral describes it as "partial 23S ribosomal RNA". It matches the Rfam family "Bacterial large subunit ribosomal RNA", at positions 2211 to 2868 of the family's 2925-position model. The record is from RNAcentral. Lineage: Bacteria; Pseudomonadati; Pseudomonadota; Gammaproteobacteria; Enterobacterales; Enterobacteriaceae.
UGUUUGAUGUUCUAACGUGGACCCGUGAUCCGGGUUGCGGACAGUGUCUGGUGGGUAGUUUGACUGGGGCGGUCUCCUCCUAAAGAGUAACGGAGGAGCACGAAGGUUGGCUAAUCCUGGUCGGACAUCAGGAGGUUAGUGCAAUGGCAUAAGCCAGCUUGACUGCGAGCGUGACGGCGCGAGCAGGUGCGAAAGCAGGUCAUAGUGAUCCGGUGGUUCUGAAUGGAAGGGCCAUCGCUCAACGGAUAAAAGGUACUCCGGGGAUAACAGGCUGAUACCGCCCAAGAGUUCAUAUCGACGGCGGUGUUUGGCACCUCGAUGUCGGCUCAUCACAUCCUGGGGCUGAAGUAGGUCCCAAGGGUAUGGCUGUUCGCCAUUUAAAGUGGUACGCGAGCUGGGUUUAGAACGUCGUGAGACAGUUCGGUCCCUAUCUGCCGUGGGCGCUGGAGAACUGAGGGGGGCUGCUCCUAGUACGAGAGGACCGGAGUGGACGCAUCACUGGUGUUCGGGUUGUCAUGCCAAUGGCACUGCCCGGUAGCUAAAUGCGGAAGAGAUAAGUGCUGAAAGCAUCUAAGCACGAAACUUGCCCCGAGAUGAGUUCUCCCUGACCCUUUAAGGGUCCUGAAGGAACGUUGAAGACGACGACGUUGAUAGGCCGGGUGU